CUCAACUUAUCCUCAAUUGGCACGUAUUAUUGAUUAUAGCUGAUAGAAAAUUAGUUAAAUUCUUCUCUUUUUUUUGAUGAAGAAGGGUAGUCAACUAGUCAUAUUGAAUACAAUAAUUGCAGCUUAAAACUUGUCUCAGAGCAUAUUAUCAAGACUUUACAACAGAUAACAGAAAGGCUACAUCCAUGGGUCAAAGAAGUGAAUUCUUUUUCUUCAUUCAUUUGCAACUCCACUCAUAUUCACAUGCACAAAAAAAUGCCGAAAAUCUAGACAUAAUUUGUUGAUAAACAACACUAACGUCCAUUUGAGAAAAAUAUUAGUCAGUCACUGUUCUUACCACAGCUUAAUGAAAUUAUCAUGGUUAAUUACUGCUCAUAUUAAUAGAAUUGCCUUAUUAUUAUUUACAGAAGUACUGUAAAAAUAAAGUCAUAGAAAUAUAUACAUGAGUUAUCAGCAUAAGCUAUAAGAUUUUGACAAACCACAAAGCGUUUCAAUUUUCAAUCACCACAAAAAGAAAUUACGUACAGGAGUUUCUGAGAAGCACUUGCAUUUUCCCAUGGUGGAUCAACCACUAUUAGAUUGAAUCCACAAUCAGCCUCAGCUGCAUUAAAAGCCAAGUGAGAAUUCCCACAAUUUGUAGAAUAGAAUUCCCACAAUUUGUAGAAUAGAAUUAGCAAAAACUUUUGUGAAUAUAAAGAAUGGGGGCAAUCGAGGCACCAUUAACAAGAUCAUACUGGCCAGGCUAAAAAUAGCAUACUUUUCCCAUGAGAAACAUAAUAGAUACUGUUCAUCAACAGAAUGGAUUCAACAUCAUAUAUCGUGACAGGUACCCACCAAAAUUCUUGAAAUUUUCUUUUCUUGCCACAGCAGUGAUAGCUACAGUAAGAAAUUUAAAACAUAGAAUUGACAUGCCAAUAGAACAGCCAGCAUAGUAAUAUGAUGCUGCAUUUCCCUGAAUACUAACAUGUUCACCAUUAAGUCACUGAUCAACUGCAGGCAUAAAGUUGAGACCUUAAAAUUUCUCAACUACAGAAGUAAAAACUCUUGCAAGUAAAAAAAAACUCAAGAAAGUGCAUCCAGUAGUAUAUCCAAGAAUUACCAGGAAUAAGGUUGUGAAUCUGCUCCAGCUCAGACAUGUAAAAGCAACUUUCUUUGGGUAGUAUAUAUUUCUCGUUUAGAAAUGCCGCAUCUACAUCACUGCCUGUCUCAUUAACAACCAAAUUAUUAAAAACUGGAAAAAUUCUUUGGCCAGUGCAUGGAUCAAUCAGGGAACCUGCAUCUCUGCUUGGCUCGUGAUGUUGAGGAAAAUUAAGAGUGAUUUCGUAGAAAGGAGCUUGCCAAACGCGGCAAAGUUCCGUAAAAGAGUGCUCAUUGAGAGGAGUUGGUAAUUCUCUGCAUUGUAAGGGACAAAAAUCACUCCUUAAAUUUCUCAUAAUCGCUAAGAGAUCAGUAGCCGCCACUAAGCAUUCCAAUGCCUUCAACAACAUAGGCCUCGCUUGCUGGUGGCGCUGAUCAGCAGCUCUUUCUCUUUCGUUCAAGGAGUGAGGUUUCUUCUCUCUUCGCUUUCGCUUCUUUGAACUUGAAGACAACUUAGUUUCAUGGCGAUCUUCACCGGAGUACUUGGGAUCGAAGAAACGAGAAUAGUAGGCAGAUGGAGAAACCCUAAAACGGGUAUAGGACAGAUUUAACACACGAACCGGGUCAAUAAAAACAACAUUUGAACAUUCGAAUCGGUAAAUCCCAGAAUCCAAAAAUACAGAUAGCCGAUCCCUCGUUUUUGAGUCCUCCAUCGUUGUAAUCUCGCCGGCUCUGUUAAUCGAGACAAAAGGGACAGAAAGGUUUCCGUCGUAUCAGGUAACGGAAGCGGUGUGGCAGUAGGGAUGGCGGGUAUUUUUCCGG
Molecule: unclassified non-coding RNA, 1899 nt
Filed under: Hevea brasiliensis (rubber tree)
Lineage: Eukaryota; Viridiplantae; Streptophyta; Magnoliopsida; Malpighiales; Euphorbiaceae
Source: RNAcentral